AUCACAACAACGAUUCAAGACUUAUUUCCCAAAGUGAUGAAGAAAAUGAGGGUUUCCAUAACUUUGGGCUGCUGCUUUGUUUCUUUUCUCCUUGGUCUCAUCUGUGAGACUCCGGCUAGAAUUUACUGGGUUCAUCUGAUUGACCACUGCUGUGCUGGAUGGGACAUUUUAAUUGCAGCUAUACUGGAGCUAGUAGGAAUCAUCUGAAUUUAUGGAGGGAACAGAUUCAUUGAGGAUAUAGAAAUGAUGAUUGGAGCAAAGAGGUGGAUAUUCUGGCUAUGGUGGAGAGCUUGCUGGUUUGUUAUUACGCCUAUCCUUUUGA
Molecule: long non-coding RNA, 322 nt
Organism: Cebus imitator (Panamanian white-faced capuchin)
Lineage: Eukaryota; Metazoa; Chordata; Mammalia; Primates; Cebidae
Exons: 3
Source: RefSeq, a predicted model, not a curated record